CCUACGGGAGGCAGCAGUGGGGAAUAUUGGACAAUGGGCGAAAGCCUGAUCCGGCAAUGCCGCGUGAGUGAUGAAGGCCUUCGGGUCGUAAAGCUCUUUUACCAGGGAUGAUAAUGACAGUACCUGGAGAAUAAGCUCCGGCUAACUCCGUGCCAGCAGCCGCGGUAAUACGGAGGGAGCUAGCGUUGUUCGGAAUUACUGGGCGUAAAGAGUACGUAGGCGGUUAUUCAAGUCAGAGGUGAAAGCCCGGGGCUCAACCCCGGAACUGCCUUUGAAACUAGAUAACUAGAGUCUUGGAGAGGUUAGUGGAAUUCCGAGUGUAGAGGUGAAAUUCGUAGAUAUUCGGAAGAACACCAGUGGCGAAGGCGACUAACUGGACAAGUACUGACGCUGAGGUACGAAAGCGUGGGGAGCAAACAGGAUUAGAUACCCUGGUAGUCCACGCCGUAAACGAUGAUAACUAGUUGUUCGGUCACUUGGUGUACUGAGUAGACGCAGACUACGACAUUAAGUUAUUCCGUCCGUCGGGUAGGUACGGUCGCGAGAAGUUAAACGUACGAAAGGAAAGUUAGUACGGCGUGAGAACGUGCCGAGGACGACGACGAGGGGAGGUUAGG
This 617-nucleotide ribosomal RNA is filed under the name uncultured bacterium. RNAcentral describes it as "bacterial SSU rRNA". The stretch from base 1 to 522 matches the Rfam family "Bacterial small subunit ribosomal RNA", at positions 338 to 873 of the family's 1533-position model. The record is from RNAcentral.